UGGGGAAUUUUGGACAAUGGGGGCAACCCUGAUCCAGCAAUGCCGCGUGUGUGAAGAAGGCCUUCGGGUUGUAAAGCACUUUUGUCCGGAAAGAAAACUUCGGGGCUAAUACCCCUGGAGGAUGACGGUACCGGAAGAAUAAGCACCGGCUGACUACGUGCCAGCAGCCGCGGUAAUACGUAGGGUGCGAGCGUUAAUCGGAAUUACUGGGCGUAAAGCGUGCGCAGGCGGUGCUGUAAGACCGAUGUGAAAUCCCCGGGCUUAACCUGGGAACUGCAUUGGUGACUGCAGCGCUGGAGUAUGGCAGAGGGGGGUGGAAUUCCACGUGUAGCAGUGAAAUGCGUAGAGAUGUGGAGGAACACCGAUGGCGAAGGCAGCCCCCUGGGCCAAUACUGACGCUCAUGCACGAAAGCGUGGGGAGCAAACAGG
Molecule: ribosomal RNA, 429 nt
Filed under: bacterium
Lineage: Bacteria
Description: partial 16S ribosomal RNA
Rfam family: Bacterial small subunit ribosomal RNA
Source: RNAcentral